UGACCAUGUGCAAUAUUUAUUUAUGGUGUGAAAACCAACGGUAGCAAAACAAAGAAGGGGACCAAUAUAUGUUGUUAUGACUGGGAGACCAUUGCGUUCAGACACGGUCGCUCUGGAAAUGCUUGCUUCUAAUGAUGUGCAAUACGUACAAAAGUGCUGAGAUUUAUGAAGCAGUUCAAGAUCAUUUAAUAUGGAUAGGUACAAUCAAACAACAGAAUCGUGCUGUGACAAAUGUGAGAUAAUGAGGCUCAAAUACCAGAAAGUGGCUCUCAACCGAUGAAAAAGACCAUACAUACAUCGUGGCUAACAUGCAAAGUGUGGUCCAAGCGUUGGGUAGCAGAUUCAGUGUUAAAGAGUAGAGCAGCUUGUUGUUACUCUCAUCACACAGCAGAAUGAGCAUCUCUCAAUGUCUGAGCCUCCAUAGCCGCAGGGCAGGGUGCCCUCAGGGGCCAGACAUCCACUUGGAAUUACUCUUGACACCCUCUCUCUCGCACUCUGUCUGUCUCUCUCUGACAAUCUACCUAAAGGGGCAAAAUACGGCUAAAUAUCAGUUCAAACAGGAGAGACGACCAAAGGAUUAGUCAACAUGUAUUAUGCCAGUUGAUGGGUUAAUGAGUGACACAGAAUUUAUUUGGUGCUUGAACUAAACGAGGGGAUUUGAGGUUGCGCUGGGUUUCCCCUGAUCGGCAGUCACAUCUCCUCGAGGAGUCCAGACUCUGGUGGCGGUGGAUGGAGGUUCUGCUGGAGUUGGGAGGAGUUGGCUGGAGAUGCAGGUGGGGUGCUGAAUCUGAGAAGGCGGACGGUGCCGGGAAGCCGCAGGGUUGCAUGCGACAGCAGCAGGAGGCUGGAGGCGGGGAUACGGCAUAUUUAAAGGAGACGGCAGCAGCUUUUGGGAUUUCACAGCACCUGAACCCAAUCCUGCACCGGCACUCCAGUGCAGGAUUGGUACUGUGGGCUCAGUAAACAAUGGUUCCUGUACGUUGGCCUCCACAAGGCGAUUUGCCUGCACUACAAAUAUCAAAAUACGGUGUGUGGGUGAGGGAAAUGCUCACGCUAAUGUCAUGAACAUCACAAAAUGCCGUUGUCGCGGCAACAAUAGCCAUGGUGGACCUCAUCCAAGUCCCAAUGCCGAAUGGUACAAUUCAUUUUUUUAGGUGACAGAAGGUCGACACAUAUGUUGCCUAAAAAAAUGAAUACGUUGUUGAGAGGAGCAGAAAUGGCUCUGUAAAGCUUGUGGCUUUGCACAAUGCGUGGGCUUUAAAGUGGAUCGGUCAUAUGUGAUUGGCGGGGUCAAUGACUUUAAUUCAGAGGUCACUAACUGGCAGACCGCUAAAAAAAGACGGUUGUGAUUUUAACGUGACAGCGCACUUUUCAACAGCGAAAGUCGAGCAUUUAUUCCAUAAUAGACAAACUCUUUUCUGUUCAUACUUCACACUGCAGCACUAAACCAGUGUCUCCUGCCUCGUGUCUGGUGUUUAGAAACCAUUGAAACGCCGUCAUGAGGCUCAACGAGCUCCUCCACGUGAGGAGGAGAACGAGCCUGAUGCAUCAAGAUCAGGUUUAACAACUAGAGCUUAAUUCUCCCACUUUCUCCCAAAAAGUGGAUAUAUAUAUAUAUGUAAAUAUGGCAAUAUGGGUCGUCGUGGCACAGGGGUUAGAGCGGGUGUGCCGGUUCGAGUCCCGACUGCCCCAUGUCUCAAGUCGAAGGGUCCCUGAGCAAGACACCUAACCCCUAAUUGCUCCCUGGGCAAAGAUGUGAAACGCCAUGGGUUUAAAGUGUAAUGUAAAAUAUAUAUUUAUAUUCUAUUAAACUGUUUAAUUGUUAAAAUGUGUGGCUGAGACUGUCAAGUCCAAAUGUGAAGCAGAACAUGUGAAAUUCAAGCUUAUCUUCCACUUAUUUUAUUUUUUCUGAAUCGAAGCACUUUAAUUGAACAUGCAGAAAUUUUCUAAUUUUAUUUUUUUUAAAUGCAGCCCUACUGUUAUUUAGUUAUUUGAGAGAACAUUAUUUAUAUUUGCAGUCACACAUUUAUGUUCAGUUCUUUGUUACAUGACAAUAAAUAUUGUCAAAAGAGUUUUAGAAUCGAAUUCAUUUGAUUUGUUAGUCGUGUAUUGAUUACAUGCAAAUGUUGAUACAGCUGUAUUCCUCUAUGUAAUCACGCUGAGUAUUGUGAUCUUCUGCAUUGUGAGCCUCUAGAAACGUUCUCUAACUGGACCUUUUCACAUUUUAGUUAAAUACCCAAAGUAUUGACGGUCUCAAUGCAAAACUAGAUGCUACACAGCAGCUGUGUAUGACACACACACAUGAGAUUCUGCGUGUACAAACAUAGUGUUUGAUUUUAAGGUUUAAUGUUUUGAUAAAAUGGAAAAGUCAGUGAGACAUAUCAGAUAGCGACUUUAGACAACAUGAACAUAAAAAUCACCCAAAGAAAAGGAGAAUUGAGUCAUUUAGAGUACACAGCUGGUGCAUGUAGGACAUGCGUUUGCCGUUUUGUGGGUUAGCGCCACCAGUUAAGAGAGAAGCUGCAAGCCUUUGCCUGUCAACUUUGACUUGAGCACAUGGUAGAAUAAUGUAUUAUGUGGGUCUUCAUGACAGAAGGACGAUAGAUAUAUAAUGAAGAGACAGCGCAACCACAUUCCCGGAUCGCGUUUCGGCCAUUGCUCUCCGUGUUGCUCUCGGGUUGAGGGUUCAUCUAUGAAAUUGUUCCGAUUCUAAUUUUAUUAAUAAUUCAUGGUACACCUGAAAAAAUAUCCAGGGCCUAGUCUUUGUUUAACACAUAGUAGGAAGGACAGCUUUCUGCAUUGGCCCCACAAGGCCUCGUUCCAUGUUUAAAACCCCGGGAUCUACGUCACAGUGAGACAUCGUGAUAGCGUCGGCUAGCCUGGACCCGCUGGCCUCAAGCAGAGAUGAGGAGUACAGGGGGAAACUAGUAACUGGUAAACUGCACAUCUUCAAACAUGCAGUCACUCCCCAACACUUUCAAAGUGAAAAUGAGUAAAUAUCCUCUUCAAUGGCUGACUGGCAUUGCAGCAAGGUGUGACGUUAUCAGAAAACAAGAUUCUGGCUCCUCGGCCCGGACUUCCCCCGCUGUGUUUUGGAAGUAGAUUACAACAAUUCAGAGGAACUUCAGGAGCCAGACCAGCUGUGUUAAAGCUCAAACCAUGAAGAGAGAUGAGCGAUGGUGGGCGCUCACAACGCUGCAGCUGAUCACCUCUCCACCAGCCAUCUGUUUACACCCAGCACGUUGCUCCUCCUUUUUUAUCCUUUCUGAAUGUGGAGGGGAGUCGCUAGGCUGACGGAGGAAGGUGGGGAAACCGUCCAUCAGAGCCAGGACACGGCCCAUAAGGAGCGGCGUGAAGCCCCCCAAGUUAUUAGCCCUGCUACCCGGCCCGUUUUGUCUUCAUCAAUUCUUAAACUCAUAAGACUCCCUGUCGCUCUCCUUUUCUAAAUUGUACCAUCUAUCAAGCCGGAUGCUCCUCUGCAUCUUCCUCUGUUCUGCUCGUUUUCUCUUUCAUGUUUCUCUCUCACUGCAGGACAUGGCGGUGCUGCGAAGGAUCAAAUCAUCCCCAGGCUUGGAGAAUAAGCUGUUUUUGUCUUGAGGCACCUCUCUGCAUACUUCCUUCAUUCCUUCUUUCUCUCCCCAAUACAGUAUCUCCUCUCCCUAAAGUAUCUUCCUUCCUCCAAACCCCUCAUCAUCUUACUUUAUCUCCUCCUCUCUAUCAUCCUCCGUGGCCUCCCCCUCCUCCUCGUCCCUCCCUACCCCUUCUUUCUUUUAUCUCCUCCGUCUCGCUGCUGCUCUCUCAUUGUGGCGGACCGGCUGGUCCUUCUUUCUUUCUCCCUCCUUCCCCUCUCUUUCUCUCCAUCUCUCUAAUUACGUUCAGAGACAAAGGCGUCUGAUUCUGCCUCCUCCCACUCAGAGCUGUCAGGCCUGGUGUAGGAGAGAGUUAAUUUCACACUUACUGCAUGCUUUAAUUAAAAAGGGGUGAGGUGGUGGGGGAGGGUGGGAGGGGGAAGAAAAAAACCAAGAUGGGAUACAUGCGCUCCGUCACACAUCAUACAAAGAGGUGGACUGAGUGUGCGCGCGUGUGCGUGUGUGUGUGUGAGUGUGUGUGUUGUAAACAAGCAUCACGUUUGUGGCUUGUGCCUACAGGUACGUGUGCGCCGAGCCAGGUGUGUGUGUGUGUGUGUGUGUGUGUGUGUGUGUGUGUGUGUGUGGUACCUCUUUGUGUAGACGUGCAGCCCAACACGCGCAGAGUUCAGCCCUUCACUUCUCCGGUGGAUUUUUUCCCGGGGGGCUUCAAUGAGAAAUCAAUAUCUUCUUCAGGGGUCUGCUGUCCCAUGCACACAAGCACCCCUUUGUACUUCUACCUUUAUGACUACACACAUUAACACUAAUACUUAUCCUAGAUUGAACCAUUAAGACAAAAUCCUAAACAGGUCUGUCCUGAGGGAAAGAAAAUCUCCUCACUUCCCACAAAGUGCUCCUCGCUGUGUCGGUCUGAAACUCUAAUUGUUCCUCACAAAGACGUUUGUAUAAGCACUCACACACACAAAAUGCCAUUACUACUUUGCAUUGGCAGCUGGAGUAGAAUUCAUUCACACUCUCACACACACACACGUGCAUAUGCAAAUACUAAACAUUUCACACAUUCUUGAGCAUGUGCAAAUACAAACAGCACCGGUAUGCUCAUAAGUGCAGAUGUGAAACUACACACACACUAUAUAGCACCGACUCUGCCCCUUCAAUAAUUCUCACAACAGCAGCACAUGAUAACCCUUGUUAAGCUGUUGAGAUAUGGAUGAUAGGUGAAACGCCCACAGUUGUCAAAGCAGGUACUUCAUCACCCUCGUCCCCUGCAUGCAGCGAGACGCUGAUCCAAGACGUGCACCAUCUCUGCCGGCCAGCCGUUGGAAAUCUUUGGUGACACAAUGUAAUAUGUUACCAACAACGAUGAGGGCCACAAUGAUGUGAUCAUUUUUCUUUUGUGGUUUUGUAGUGGACCACCGUGUCUCAAUAUUACAUUUCAGGCUGUUGUUGUUUGAGUAGAUAUAACAUUUCUGUGGAACACAUUCCAAACGCCUUUGUGUGUAAUCAAGGUACCACAUAUGAACAGAAGGAACGGGGGAAGGAAAAGGGGGCGUGGAGGCCCUGGGGCCACCUCGUGGGUUCAUUCGUCUGUGGUGACGGGGUCAUGGAGGUUGAGCAGCUGAGCAUUUAUCAGCAUCGUCAGCAAUGAAUGAAAAAGACUCCAUGGAAAUAUACUUAGAUGAAGCACAGCGAGUGAUGUAACGUGGAGGUGGAGGUGCUGAGGCAAAGCGAGGUCCACUGCAGUCGGUGUUAUUUCCAUGUGGGGCGUUUCAUCUUCAUUAAUAAUAUCGUUCUGCAGAGGAGAUCCGCUUCACACGUGGACAACAGCUGCAACAGCACACCCCCAUAACUUACAUAUAGCCCUGAACCCGGCAUCCGGCAGAUAUUUGAAUAAGCUCAGGGAGAGGCGUGCUGAUUCCAAUUAGCAGUCUGUUGUUUCACACUGUGGGCGAUGGAGCUUGUUAUUCCUCGCAUGGAGAGAGUCGGAGGAGCACCGCUCUGCGGCUCCCACAGCGCAAUCAGCCUCUAUGACUCUUUGGUACGCACCAAGCACUGAUUGCCACAUUCAUGGCACCAUUCGCACUCCCCGGGGUGCUGCAGAGGUGCAUUUGUUAAAGAACUGUCGUGGUCACCUGUGGGAAGAGGUACAAAUGGCCCGAGUCCAGAGCCGAUGUCACACCGCCACCCGCAGCUAUCAGCCAUAAUGAACCCGGCAUAGAAAGAUAGAAUGAUCACAAUAUCUCCUGCAGUCAUAAUUUAUGGUAUGCGUGCUAAUGCUGUAUUAAAGGCGGUAAGGAUAUGCCUUGAUUAAAAACUAAGGGAUUACAAUGGAGGAUUCGAUUUCAGGCUGACGGCGCGGACUCUUUGUUUUGCUCUCUGCUUGUUUCAUGCAUCAAGGGAUUUAGAGACAGUCCAGGUGCUUCAUCCAGAGGGGCUUGAUUUCAUAUAAUUAUGUUUGGGUGGGCCUGGUUUCUCCUCAGGGAAUUAGUUCUACUGAACAAGUACACAAGCCGCUUUUAUCUGUACAUUUCUAUAUGUGAUGUUAUUAUUUGACAUAUUUCCAGUUUAUUCCCACAAAUUCAAGCGGCUCAGCCUAGUUAAGAGCAAAAGGCUAACACUGAUGACAGCAAACAUCAGCAAUGAAAUCUGAAUAACCCACCCAUCACAAUGUUAAAUUAAACCCCAGAACCUAAAAUGUUACUACAUCAUUGAUAAUAGUUAACUUCAUGGUCUUUAAACGGCAAUAACAAGCGUUACCGGUUUGGAAACAUAAAAGUUGACUGGUGAGUAUAGAUUUGGGAUGAAAAUACCCGAAUGUUCCGGCGAUGAUCUGCAUCCAUACACAGCGAACACACCUGCCUCCCAGCCUCAGGUCCAGCUUUGUUCUUGGGCUCAUUCAAAUGAACAGAAAAGGAAGAUGAAUUCUGAAAUUUUGUAUUUCACAACUUAAUUGUUGACGUAAUGAUUUAGAGUAGGAAUAUUUAAGUGCUUCACUUUAAAUCAUUUCCAACUCAACAGUAAUCUGGAGGGAAUUGUCACUUCACUAAAUGUAUUGAAUAAUUAUUUGUUAUCACAUUGUUGAUUCAGAUUAGAUAUCCAACCCAUAAUGUAUAAUUACAAUUCAAGAUAUAAUAUCCCACAGUGUGCAAAGCCAUUGAAAUAAGCCCCACCUUUUCAAGCUUUAAAAUGAAAGUGAUGUACACAAUAAUGCACCAAUAGUAAAUGACAGGAUGAUGUUAUUCAUGAUGAGUACUUUUACUUAUGGUACAUUUUGGUGCUUUAUUGCUUAUUUAGACCUGAAAAGGUAAAGCAUGUAAAUAAUGUAACAUGCAAGCAGAAUGAGGGACAGGAGGAGGCUGUGGGAAGGGAAGGAAUAUAAAAAGGAAGCUAGGGAAGUAAUAAUAGAAAGGGGAGUGCAGCAGUGAUAAAGGCGCGGAGGGAGGAAUGAAUGCCCUGAUGGAUGGAGGAAGACAAGCGGAUGGAUGGGCAGCAGGACAAAUGGUGAAGGAGGAGGACGUGUUGACGGGAUGGACAGGGGGUAGACGGGAAGAGGGAAGUAUUUAAGGCAGGAUAGACAGAUGCAUGGAUGAUUCAGGGGUAAUGGAACGAUAAGCUAAAGGAUUACAAUUUUACAGUCUACUGACAGUGGAGUUAGACACAUAUGUAACAGUCAAAACGUCUAACUUUAACAAAGGCCAACAGAGAGACAAAACAGAUGUUCAAAGCAGUGCUGCCUUUGAAUUGGGCUGCAAUACGGAACAGAAAAAGAUGUUAUUGGCCACCAAAUACGCAAUUGUAAAAUGAAGCAUUGUUGGACACAAAAAACUAAAUCCAUUAGAGUAUAAAAUGCCGUACUUUAAAAACAUUAAAAACACGUAUGAGUUAUUUGGUUGGAACAUGCCUUUCUGCAAUGUCUCCAAGAUCAUUUCCAGUUUUGGAAGCCAACCUUUUAAUGUGUUUUUUGUUAGACGUGACUGAGGGGGUAGGACAGAGGUCGGCUCACUUUCACACAGGCUCACAGUUACUUUUAUACGUUUAUGUUUCUUUUAGCCACACUGGAACCAAACCAUGUUCAGUCACCGCUCUGUUCCAACUAUGCUCAAGAACUACCUCCAGAACAUCUGGAUGGACAAAUAAGUCCAUUACGUUGGUCAAAUGCCUCAGCUGCACAUUAUUGGUAGCAUGCUAGCUUGUUAAACUACAAUGUCAAUGUUGGCAUACUGUAUAUUGCAACUGCUAAAGAUCGUCAAAUUGACAUGUUCACAUGACUUUGUGUGUUUAUCGGUAUGCUGGUGUUAUUAUUUAGCUCAACGUACUUAUGUGCUUGAAGGAGCACUGAUUGGGUCUCAAGUGUUUUGGAGAAGCAACAAUGUCCUUCAAAGAACAUAAAAUGCAAAGCAUUUCUUUUGGUCUGGACAGAAGGUCCAAUAAAAGACUCAAGAUCUGCUUUGUUUGUCUCCUGUCCACAGUGCAAACUACUGAAAAAUCAUAAUUAACAUAACAAGUAAGGGCAGUAGAGUGCCACAUGGACGAAGACCGAGGCCUGAUCAACUUCACUAAGGUCCCCUGGACGACGGUGUCUAACAAUGUUAUAUACAAGAAUAAACUUCAACAGAUGUUCAGUUGUUUACUAGAUUUCAAAACAAAUCAUGCUUGUAAAAUCAUUUGUAUGCCUCACUGUGGUUGAUCCUGAGGGAAAAUGAAUUAUUAUACAUAAAAAUAUAAUUCUGCAUUUCUGUUUUUUGACAAAUAAAAAUAAUCAAGGGUUCUACUUGGACCCAAAAGUUAUGAUUAAUUGCCAGUAUGCUUUGAGUACUUUGGCUAACCGUGUCAUGUUAACCAAAGUGGAAUGAGAGAAAUGAAUGCAGAGAGGAAAGCAGAGGUCUACACGGAGGGAAUGUCCAGAGGCUUAAUGCACCCUGAAUGCUAUUCGACAUUACUGAUGCGAGCGGGUCGCUCCAAAUCGCUCCCCUCGGGUUCAGAGGAGCGUUGCGGCGCUGGAAGACCCCAUGGCUCAUUGAAAGGGGUCAGAGGCGAGGCGCUCUGCUCCAUUUAGCAGCCUACUCAUGAUGGAUGAAUGGAGGGAGGGGAGGGUGGAGGGGUGGAGCGUCGCCCAACUGAGAGCGUGGGGAACAGGGCGCCACCAGAGACCUCCUCUUGGAGCGGUGAGCGGUGGUAAUGGCUGAUAAUGGGAACAGGCGCAGGUGGAGUCAAAAGCGAAUGUGGUGUUUUAGGUCAGCAUUCACACACUUUUGGCAUCUGUGUUGUAGAAGCCUCGUGUCGAAGAAAAUGGGAGAGGAUUAGUUUACAUGUCUUAAAGAUAUUUGAAAUUAUAUAAUAUGUGACUGAGGACAUUAUUUGUAAUUAAGAUCUGUCAGCUCCAAUAAUUGACAUUUUGUUGGCUGUUUUACGAAUUCUAAUAUGUCUAUUCAUGUCAUGAUUGCUGAAACCAAGGAGGAUCAAAAGCUAAAUUUCCCUAAAUUCUUCAUUGGAAGCCAAUAGCUAAAUUUAGUUCAGAAAGCGAGAUACUUGGGUCACAUGAUGCAGAGUGACCUAAGUGACGAUGAUGAUGUGCAGCGCUAGUGUUGCACACUGUGCAAAAGCAAAAAGAGCUCUGUUUACUGUCCUCCGCUCUAUCCAGCUUGUGGUGCAGCUGCAGCAGAGCAAAGAUAAAAAAAAGCUUCAGGUGGUAUUUAAUGAUACUUUUAGAAUCUUGCUUAGGCUCCAAAGAUGGACUCAAGUCAUGUUUGUGACUGGUGAUGUGCUCACAUUUCAUGCUGUCUUGAGGAAUUGAAUUUACAAAUCGAAAUGUUGAUUAAAUGAACCUGUUAAUGUAAUCAUGAAGGCUUUAACUGAGCCUAUACACAGAGUGAUGCAAGGUGUUGACCUUUUUAUUAUUGCCAACAAUAUGCUUUGUACUGCAUUGUGUUUUUGUUUCUUUUUCAUUUUGUAUGGACUCCUGAGUCUGGAAAUAAACACAAAUCAUUUAUAAUAGAUGUUACAAAUAUAUUAACUCAUAUACAUACACAAUCCCUACAGAUAUGGGCCCUCUAUUUAUCACUACCAUGUACCAAGAAGUGUGGGAGAUCCUCAAUAGAAUGAUCCAUUAUAGGGUAGUGUGGGAGAGCACAAAGCCCUGGGCCGACCAAUAGUUUUUUUUAUAUGUCCUGUUGAAGGACGCUCCACCUCGCUAGAAUCGCAGAUGCCUUUGACACUGACAGAAGCCAGCAACAGGUACAUGUCUGUCUUUGCCUGCCUUUCUCACCUUAUUAUUUUAGUUUAAUCAGCUUCCCAGGUGAGGCAUAGAGCAGUAUAUAUGUACACUCUAAAAAAAUUCACCGUAAAUAAAUGGUAUUUUACUGGCAGCAAGGACGCCAGGAAUUUACCGUUAUUUUACGGUAUAAUACUGUAAAUGGUUUUUACACUAUGUUACCGUAAAAUGGAUUACUGUAUGUUAUCAUAAACUUGAACGAAUUUUACUGUGAAUUUACUGGCAGUCAACGCUAGUAACUUACUGUUUUAUUUACAGUGCCCUACCAUAAUUUACGGUAUGUUGUGGUAUAUUGGAUUACAGUUUGUUACCAUACGAUUACUGUCUUUGUCACGGUGUGGUGCACUUCCUGUCUUAUUUUGUAGUUUUCUGCCACUCGUGCCCCCGGGUAACUUCACUUCCUGCCUGGUCCUGUCAUCCCCUUUGAUUGUUGGAAUGUUUCCACCUGUGUCCAAUCACCUGCACCUCCCUUGUGUAUUUAAGCAGUGUGUGUUGUUUGUCACUUGUGGCGUCAUUGUCCUUUGUCACGGAUGUCCCUGUCUACCAUCUGGAUGUUCCCCGUUACUGCCUCCCUUUUUGUCCCCGUUUCGUGUAUGUGUUUUUGCCUGUUGGCCUUUUACUUUGUGGAGUUUUUUUGACUAUUAAAGUCUUUUUCGUUAAAGUCUGCGUUUGAGUCCUGCCUUCCUACCCAACCCUGACAGUUUUGUGUUAUAAAUACCAGAAUGUUACCGUAUACUUUUGCAUUUAAUUCCCCACAAAUUAAAGAAAGACAAACAAAAUAAUUUCGGUCAUAGUGGUUGGAGUUUGUUAGAUGCCUUUAAGACAAAAAUGUUAGGCCUUUGUAACAAAGAACAAAACAUAAAAUAUGCAGCAUGUAUACAAUAAUAAAAAAAUGAAUCAUAAAAUCAUUGGGAACAAGGUAAACUAACUGCAACAAUACGCUAUGGAACACUUUCAAUUGACCGCAGCAAACGGCUGGCGUCCUUAAUCCAGUGCCUCUGUAAAACAAACCAAAAUUGAAUAUUUAGAAACACUGUCAUUGGUGAAAUAUUAAAAUGACAAAGUUGAGGAAGACAACAAGAUGUAAGGAAGGAGAAUGUUAAUCAUGUUAGGCAAAUAACACUUACCAACGUUACUUGGAGAGACGAGGCAAUGAGAAACUCCUCCGAUGUUGAACUGACAGGUGUUCUGGAUGAACUGAGAUUACGCGUCUGACGUCACGUGUACGAGCAGUCCGUCACGAUUAACACUCAAAUGACUUUUAGGCAAUGAACACUUUGAAUAAUACAAAUAUUCCUAAUCUUUACAUUCCGGCUAAUGAAAUGUGCAGCACAAGGUUGGCGGUUCGAAUCCUGGCUGCUCCCUGUGCCAAGUUGAAGUGUCCCUGAGCAAGACACCUAAACCCCAAUUACUCCACAUAAAAUGAUGUCAAACCAUGGGCGUUUUGAAUAAAAGUGACAGCUACAUAUAGUAAUGUCCUGUAAGUCAAAGUCAUCAUCGUAUCUCAUGAGAUACUAUCUCAUUAUGAUUACUUACAGGACCUGUUUUUCAGUGGCUGACAUGGGCUUCCAUACAUUAACCUACAAAUUUGAAUUACGGUAGUCUGCUAUUAUUGUAAAUUGACAGCUUUAACUGUUUAUUCAUGACAUUGGCUGUUAAUUUACAAGCAAGGGAUGGAAAUUUAACUGUAUGUUACAGUUAUUAUGACAUACUGUAAGAUACCGAAAUGCACCGUAAAUUUACAGCAAUUUGUUACAGUGUAUGGACCAACAUCUCUGAAGAAUGUUUCCAACCUCUUGUUGAAAGUAUGGCAGAAGAAUUAUAAAAGGGGCUCCAACCCUUUACUACCAAGGUGUACCUAUAAAGUGGCCAGUGAGUGUACAUUAGGGCAGCGGUCCCCAACCUUUUUUGCCUCACAGGCUGUUUUUAUGUUUGACAAUAUUUCCUGUCUUGAAGGUGUGGGGGAUAAACACAACAAAAUAACCAACCGACGGGGGGAAGGUAGUAGUAGUGGCUGCGCACAAAAACGCUUGAAUGAUGCUUGGAAUUUGAAAUUUGUCAAGAAGGAUUAGGACAUGGGAUUGGGAAAAAAUCCAGUCGUUUUUUUCAAAAUAAAAUAUUUUUCAGAAAAAACUUAAAUGGAAAAAAUCCUCAAUUUGUCUGGGGUUUUUUUCUGUCUGCAGCCUGGUACCAAGACCAAGUGGCCCGGUGGUUGGGGACCUUUGCAUUAGGAAACCUUUUUUCCAAAAUUUACUUGUUGAAAUGCAAAUGAAGUUGCUUUACACUUAGCGUUCCAGCCCACUUCACAUGGCUUAGCAAGUGACAACUUUCUGGAUGUGACUCUCAGACGCCAUUCUUCAAUCAUGGCCGCCAUAGACGUGGCAUUGUGAAGCAGCUGUACCCUCCAGUGCCUCUCAGCAGCCCAUGCAUUUGGCUGAAAUAUUCAGCACAGCUCCCAGCGUUACCUUGCAUGUAUAAUUACCGGAUGUGCUGCCUGCCGCUGAUAACUCUCCCAAACAAUGUUUGAAGGGGUAAGGCGGCGAUGAAUUCCCAAUGAAGUGUGAAAAAGACUGAUUAAAAUUGCCGUGGUCAAAAGCCAGCGCACCAGUGUGUUCUGCUCUCGCCGACCAGGGGAGAUGGGGAGACUCUCUGCAGUUUUUGCACUGUGUUUGGGAUUGGUUUCUGGUUUCUAUUUUGAUCCACAGUAAAAAAAAAUCAUAUUGGCAUAUUAGUGUUUUUGCCAAGCUUGUCAUGAUUUAGAAUAAAUUAAAAGAAAGCCGAAACAUUAUUCAAUCUCGAGCAGUUCUAUUCCGUUAUUGUUUGGCUGUACAGCAUAAAUCCCCAAAUUCAGAGAGGUUCACAGAUUCACGUGUGCCUGAUUUAUUUAUUUUAGAAAAUAACAGAAAGGUAACAAAGCAACCCCUGGUGCUAAAAGCAACCAUACAUUGUUGUUUGAGGGCAAUUUUGAAUCUCUCUUUGUCUCUUUGUAUGUUUCUGAUUGUGUGUAUAUAUA
Long non-coding RNA from Gasterosteus aculeatus aculeatus (three-spined stickleback), 12871 nucleotides. NCBI's taxonomy places the organism in Eukaryota, Metazoa, Chordata, Actinopteri, Perciformes, Gasterosteidae. The record is from Ensembl.